This 424-nucleotide ribosomal RNA is filed under the name uncultured bacterium. Its description in RNAcentral is "partial 16S ribosomal RNA". It matches the Rfam family "Bacterial small subunit ribosomal RNA", at positions 360 to 776 of the family's 1533-position model. The record is from RNAcentral.
AAUUUUGGACAAUGGGCGCAAGCCUGUUCCAGCCAUGCUGCGUGAGUGAAGAAGGCCUUCGGGUUGUCGAUUUCUUUCGGACGGAAAGAAAUCGCGCAGGCUAAUACCCUGCGCGGAUGACGGUACCUUCAUAAGAAGCACCGGCUACCGAUGUGCCAGCAGCCGCGGUAAUACGUAGGGUGCGAGCGUUAAUCGGAAUUACUGGGCGUAAAGCGUGCGCAGGCGGUUGAUUAAGACAGGCGUGAAAUCCACGGGCUUAGCCUGGGAACAGAGCUUGUGACUGGUCAGCUAGAGUACGGAAGAGGGGGGUGGAAUUCAACGUGUAGCAGUAAAAUGCGUAGAGAUGUGGAGGAACACCGAUGGCGAAGGCAGCCCCCUAGGACGAUACUGACGCUCAUGCACGAAAGCGUGGGUAGCAAACAGG